This 208-nucleotide ribosomal RNA is filed under the name uncultured bacterium. RNAcentral's name for it is "partial 16S ribosomal RNA". It matches the Rfam family "Bacterial small subunit ribosomal RNA", at positions 568 to 774 of the family's 1533-position model. The record is from RNAcentral.
CGCGUAGGCGGCUUGGUCAGUCGGAUGUGAAAGCCCCGGGCUUAACCUGGGAAUUGCAUUCGAUACUGCUAGGCUAGAGUGUAGUAGAGGGAAGCGGAAUUCCAGGUGUAGCGGUGAAAUGCGUAGAUAUCUGGAGGAACAUCAGUGGCGAAGGCGGCUUCCUGGACUAACACUGACGCCGAGGUGCGAAAGCGGUGGGGAGCAAACA